This 478-nucleotide ribosomal RNA is filed under the name Cryptosporidium sp. rat genotype III. RNAcentral's name for it is "SSU rRNA". It matches the Rfam family "Eukaryotic small subunit ribosomal RNA", at positions 369 to 874 of the family's 1831-position model. Lineage: Eukaryota; Apicomplexa; Conoidasida; Eucoccidiorida; Cryptosporidiidae. The record is from RNAcentral.
AUUAGGGUUCGAUUCCGGAGAGGGAGCCUGAGAAACGGCUACCACAUCUAAGGAAGGCAGCAGGCGCGCAAAUUACCCAAUCCUAAUACAGGGAGGUAGUGACAAGAAAUAACAAUACAGGACCUUUAAUGGUUUUGCAAUUGGAAUGAGUUAAGUAUAAACCCCUUUACAAGUAUCAAUUGGAGGGCAAGUCUGGUGCCAGCAGCCGCGGUAAUUCCAGCUCCAAUAGCGUAUAUUAAAGUUGUUGCAGUUAAAAAGCUGGUAGUUGGAUUUCUGUUAAUUACUUUAUAUAAUUUUACACUUUCGUGUAGUUAUAUAGUAUUAACAUAAUUCAUAUUACUAUUUUAGUAUAUGAAAUUUUACUUUGAGAAAAUUAGAGUGCUUAAAGCAGGCUUUUGCCUUGAAUACUUCAGCAUGGAAUAAUAAUUAAAGAUUUUUAUCUUUCUUAUUGGUUCUAAGAUAAAAAUAAUGAUUAAUA